Long non-coding RNA from Mesocricetus auratus (golden hamster), 497 nucleotides. RefSeq lists it as uncharacterized. NCBI's taxonomy places the organism in Eukaryota, Metazoa, Chordata, Mammalia, Rodentia, Cricetidae. The record is from RefSeq and is a predicted model, not a curated record. The transcript is spliced from 2 exons.
AGAGAGCAGAGGUCUGGGAUCAAGGUAGCAGUAGGAGGGUCCUUCCUGCCUCCUCUGGCUUCAGCGGGAUGCCAGCAAUCCUCCACUCCCCUUGCCUAGCAACUGCAUCACUGAAUUCCCUGCUGCGUGGUCCACGUCACAUCCUUCCCCAUCUGUGUGUGGAUCCUUAUGAACACCUUCCUUUUUUGUGUUUAAUGUUUGCAGCUUUUAUCCUGCACUUCAAGCCAAGAGAACGGAUGCUUCAGGGAUGCUUGCUGUGUGCACAGCUUGCGUGUGCGAUGUGUAAUCAACUCUGCGCAACGGUUAUCGGAAUUCAGACAAUGUGGAGACUCUUCCCAUCACUGUGCUGUCAAAGGGGAAACCGAGGCACAGAAAGAUUAGGAAACUGUUCCAAGGUCACCCAUCAAAUAAGAGCUGGCUCCAGACUACCCCCAAUAUUUUCAGAAUUUGUGAUGUCUGUGGGUUUCUUUCCUUAAAUCACCUUGCUUUAGCACACA